GGACGAACGCUGGCGGCGUGCCUAAUACAUGCAAGUCGAGCGGACAGAAGGGAGCUUGCUCCCGGAUGUUAGCGGCGGACGGGUGAGUAACACGUGGGUAACCUGCCUGUAAGACUGGGAUAACUCCGGGAAACCGGAGCUAAUACCGGAUAGUUCCUUGAACCGCAUGGUUCAAGGAUGAAAGACGGUUUCGGCUGUCACUUACAGAUGGACCCGCGGCGCAUUAGCUAGUUGGUGAGGUAACGGCUCACCAAGGCGACGAUGCGUAGCCGACCUGAGAGGGUGAUCGGCCACACUGGGACUGAGACACGGCCCAGACUCCUACGGGAGGCAGCAGUAGGGAAUCUUCCGCAAUGGACGAAAGUCUGACGGAGCAACGCCGCGUGAGUGAUGAAGGUUUUCGGAUCGUAAAGCUCUGUUGUUAGGGAAGAACAAGUGCAAGAGUAACUGCUUGCACCUUGACGGUACCUAACCAGAAAGCCACGGCUAACUACGU
RNAcentral lists this ribosomal RNA (496 nucleotides) under Bacillus sp. SD2(2008). Its description in RNAcentral is "bacterial SSU rRNA". It matches the Rfam family "Bacterial small subunit ribosomal RNA", at positions 27 to 506 of the family's 1533-position model. The record is from RNAcentral. Lineage: Bacteria; Bacillati; Bacillota; Bacilli; Caryophanales; Bacillaceae.